This 908-nucleotide ribosomal RNA is filed under the name uncultured bacterium. RNAcentral's name for it is "bacterial SSU rRNA". It matches the Rfam family "Bacterial small subunit ribosomal RNA", at positions 8 to 934 of the family's 1533-position model. The record is from RNAcentral.
AGAGUUUGAUCCUGGCUCAGAAUGAACGUUGGCGGCGUGGAUUAGGCAUGCAAGUCGUACGGGCCGCAAGGCCAGUGGCGCAAGGGUGAGUAAGGCGACGGUAACCAACCCCAUGACUGGGUAUAGCCGCGGGAAACUGCGGGUAAUCCCCAGCGACGUCCGUGGGAGGCAUCUCCUGUGGACCAAAGCUCCGGCGUCGUGGGACGGGCCGUCGUGGUAUUAGGUGGUUGGCGGGGUAACGGCCCACCAAGCCUGUGAUGCCUACCGGGCGUGCGAGCGUGGCCCGGCACACUGGGACUGAGACACUGCCCAGACUCCUACGGGAGGCUGCAGUCGAGAAUCUUCGGCAAUGGGCGCAAGCCUGACCGAGCGACGCCGCGUGGAGGAUGAAGGCCUUCGGGUUGUAAACUCCUGUCGAGGGGAAAGAAGGGGGCGCAAGCCCUUUGACUGAUCCCUGGAGGAAGCACGGGCUAAGUUCGUGCCAGCAGCCGCGGUAAGACGAACCGUGCGAACGUUAUUCGGAAUCACUGGGCUUAAAGCGCGUGUAGGCGGGACGGCACGUCGGCCGUUGAAAUCCCCCGGCUCAACCGGGGAAGGGGCGCCGAUACGACCGUCCUGGAGGAACGUAGGGGGAGCUGGAACUUCCGGUGGAGCGGUGAAAUGCGUUGAGAUCGGAAGGAACGCCCGUGGCGAAAGCGAGCUCCUGGACGUUUUCUGACGCUGAGACGCGAAAGCCAGGGGAGCGAACGGGAUUAGAUACCCCGGUAGUCCUGGCCGUAAACGAUGGGCACUGGGUAGGGGCUCGCCGAUGGGCUCCCUGCCGUAGGAAACCGUGAAGUGCCCCGCCUGGGGAGUAUGGUCGCAAGGCUGAAACUCAUAGGAAUUGACGGGGGCUCACACAAGCCGUU